GGCGCCUUGGCGGAGCGGUUACGCAGCGGUCUGCAAAACCGUGUAGACCAGUUCGACUCUGGUAGGUGCCUCCA
RNAcentral lists this transfer RNA (74 nucleotides) under Candidatus Saccharimonadota bacterium. RNAcentral describes it as "tRNA-Cys". It matches the Rfam family "tRNA". From Rfam's summary of the family: Transfer RNA (tRNA) molecules are approximately 80 nucleotides in length. Lineage: Bacteria; Candidatus Saccharimonadota. RNAcentral also lists the same sequence under 1 other name. The record is from RNAcentral.